CCUACGGGAGGCAGCAGUCGAGAAUCAUUCACAAUGGGGGAAACCCUGAUGGUGCGACGCCGCGUGGGGGAAUGAAGGUCUUCGGAUUGUAAACCCCUGUCAUGUGGGAGCAAAUUAAAAAGAUAGUACCACAAGAGGAAGAGACGGCUAACUCUGUGCCAGCAGCCGCGGUAAUACAGAGGUCUCAAGCGUUGUUCGGAAUCACUGGGCGUAAAGCGUGCGUAGGCUGUUUCGUAAGUCGUGUGUGAAAGGCGCGGGCUCAACCCGCGGACGGCCCAUGAUACUGCGAGACUAGAGUAGUAGAGAGGUAAGCGGAAUUCGCGGUGUAGCAGUGAAAUGCGUAGAUAUCGAGAAGAACACUCGUGGCGAAGGCAGGUUCCUGGACAUUAACUGACGCUGAGGCACGAAGGCCAGGGGAGCGAAAGGGAUUAGAUACCCGAGUAGUC
This 446-nucleotide ribosomal RNA is filed under the name uncultured bacterium. RNAcentral's name for it is "partial 16S ribosomal RNA". It matches the Rfam family "Bacterial small subunit ribosomal RNA", at positions 338 to 795 of the family's 1533-position model. The record is from RNAcentral.